AUGGAAUGUACAUUCCAUCUCCCAAAAUGAAUGAAUGAUCUUAAUUUGGUAAAAGUCCUCCUUUGACCAAUUUGUGUAGAAUCCAUUCCCCCUCCCUCUUCAUCUCAUUCCCUUUCUUUAUUCAUUCAUAUUAUGGACCUAUGGUAUCUCCAUAUCCUAAGGCUAGUUGAUUGCAAAAUCAACAUAAGUAUGGAUGAGAUUAGG
Molecule: long non-coding RNA, 204 nt
Filed under: Lathyrus oleraceus (garden pea)
Lineage: Eukaryota; Viridiplantae; Streptophyta; Magnoliopsida; Fabales; Fabaceae
Description: Pisum sativum (pea) long non-coding RNA (PSAT_LNC000578)
Source: RNAcentral